Molecule: ribosomal RNA, 703 nt
Filed under: uncultured bacterium
Lineage: Bacteria
Description: bacterial SSU rRNA
Rfam family: Bacterial small subunit ribosomal RNA
Source: RNAcentral
UUCUUUAUCACCGAGUGCUUGCACUCACCGAUAAAGAGUUGAGUGGCGAACGGGUGAGUAACACGUGGGCAACCUGCCCAAAAGAGGGGGAUAACACUUGGAAACAGGUGCUAAUACCGCAUAACCAUAGUUACCGCAUGGUAACUAUGUAAAAGGUGGCUAUGCUACCGCUUUUGGAUGGGCCCGCGGCGCAUUAGCUAGUUGGUGGGGUAAAGGCUUACCAAGGCAAUGAUGCGUAGCCGAACUGAGAGGUUGAUCGGCCACAUUGGGACUGAGACACGGCCCAAACUCCUACGGGAGGCAGCAGUAGGGAAUCUUCCACAAUGGGCGAAAGCCUGAUGGAGCAACGCCGCGUGGGUGAAGAAGGUCUUCGGAUCGUAAAACCCUGUUGUUAGAGAAGAAAGUGCGUGAGAGUAACUGUUCACGUUUCGACGGUAUCUAACCAGAAAGCCACGGCUAACUACGUGCCAGCAGCCGCGGUAAUACGUAGGUGGCAAGCGUUAUCCGGAUUUAUUGGGCGUAAAGGGAACGCAGGCGGUCUUUUAAGUCUGAUGUGAAAGCCUUCGGCUUAACCGGAGUAGUGCAUUGGAAACUGGGAGACUUGAGUGCAGAAGAGGAGAGUGGAACUCCAUGUGUAGCGGUGAAAUGCGUAGAUAUAUGGAAGAACACCAGUGGCGAAAGCGGCUCUCUGGUCUGUAACUGA